Molecule: ribosomal RNA, 806 nt
Filed under: uncultured Thermoprotei archaeon
Lineage: Archaea; Thermoproteati; Thermoproteota; Thermoprotei
Description: bacterial SSU rRNA
Rfam family: Archaeal small subunit ribosomal RNA
Source: RNAcentral
UAUUUGGGCCUAAAGCGUCCGUAGCCGGCCCGGCAAGUCCCCCCUUAAAGCCCACGGCUCAACCGUGGGAGCGGGGGGAUACUGCCGGGCUAGGGGGCGGGAGAGGCGGGGGUACUCCCGGGGUAGGGGCGAAAUCCGUUAAUCCCGGGAGGACCGCCAGUGGCGAAUGCGCCCGGCUGGAACGCGCCCGACGGUGAGGGACGAAAGCUGGGGGAGCAAAGGGGAUUAGAUACCCCCGUAGUCCCAGCUGUAAACGAUGCGGGCUAGGUGUAGGGUGGGCUUCGAGCCCGCCCAGUGCCGUAGGGAAGCCGUUAAGCCCGCCGCCUGGGGAGUACGGCCGCAAGGCUGAACCUUACAGGAAUCGGCGGGGGAGCACCACAAGGGGUGAAGCUUGCGGUUUAAUUGGAGUCAACGCCGGAAAGCUUACCCGGGGCGACAGCAGGAUGAAGGCCAGGCUAACGACCUUGCCAGACGAGCUGAGAGGAGGUGCAUGGCCGUCGCCGGCUCGUGCCGUGAGGUGUCCGGUUAAGUCCGGUAACGAGCGAGACCCCCGCCCCCAGUUGCCACCCGAUCCCUCAGUGGCCUUCCACUGAGGGAUUGGAGCACUCUGGGGGGACUGCCGGCGUUAAGCCGGAGGAAGGUGGGGGCUACGGCAGGUCAGUAUGCCCCGAAACCCCGGGGCUACACGCGAGCUGCAAUGGCGGGGACAACGGGUACCGACCCCGAAAGGGGGAGGUAAUCCCUUAAACCCCGCCUCAGUAGGAAUCGAGGGCUGCAACUCGCCCUCGUGAACGUGGAAUCCCUAG